Spinacia oleracea (spinach) is the source of this 832-nucleotide long non-coding RNA. RefSeq lists it as uncharacterized. The transcript has 5 exons. NCBI's taxonomy places the organism in Eukaryota, Viridiplantae, Streptophyta, Magnoliopsida, Caryophyllales, Amaranthaceae. The record is from RefSeq and is a predicted model, not a curated record.
ACCAUCACCGUCUUUUAUUCUCUAUCUUCGUCACGAAGCCGUUGAAAACGCCGGAAACUUUAAAGCGUGACGGGAGGAGGUAAACAUGGAUGAGUCGCCGCCAUUGUUAAUGUUCGUUGAAAAGACGACCUCCGCAUUAGGAUCCUGCAAUCCAAAUUCACCCUCCUCCAAAUCACCGUUGUCGCUCAGUCGCCGACCACCGUAUACUCCGCCGCUUUCUUAGCGCUGGGCAGUUCUGCUGCUGCUUUUUGGUAAAUUGUUGGAUUAAUAUUUUAGAGUGACCAUGUAAAUUAACAAUUAACAAAGAAGAUGUAGUUUUUUUUAGUUUUUCACGGGUUACUUAUGUUAAUUAGAUACAAAGAUGAUUUGCUUUAAUGGGGUUAAUAAAAGGUAAUCUGAUUAGUUUGAUUGUGUUUGUUUGUGCAGCGUUUGAUCGGUGAUGCUGCUAAGAAUCAGGUUGCCAUGAAGCCUACGAACAUUGUUUUUGUUUCUUCAUAAAGAGGUUUCUAUUCGAAUUGCGCGCAAGCUAUUGAACUUGAUAAUGCGUUAUUGAAUUCGGGCUCUUCAAUAAUCAAAUGAUACCGUCUUUAUGCAAGAAACUCCCAUAAAAGUGUUGACAUCCAACUUGAUGAUUUUGGCGCGAUCCUGGCAGUUCAGCUGCUGCGGGAAUUAAAAGAGGCAACUACGUGUCAAUACUCUACACUCCUGGUAGCUCAGUGGAAGGAUUGCACUAGCAAAAGAUUGAAGAUUUGAGCUCACAACUUCAAACUCGGGCAACAAUUCAAGCCUUCGGACUUGACCAAUGUCAUCUCCAAGAAUGAAAAUUCAUUGA